RNAcentral lists this RNase P RNA (365 nucleotides) under bovine gut metagenome. RNAcentral describes it as "Bacterial RNase P class A". It matches the Rfam family "Bacterial RNase P class A". Rfam says of the family: Ribonuclease P (RNase P) is a ubiquitous endoribonuclease, found in archaea, bacteria and eukarya as well as chloroplasts and mitochondria. Its best characterised activity is the generation of mature 5'-ends of tRNAs by cleaving the 5'-leader elements of precursor-tRNAs. Cellular RNase Ps are ribonucleoproteins. The record is from RNAcentral.
AGAAGGAUAGGCAAUCGCUGACUUUGACAAAGUGAUAAGUUGGAGGAAAGUCCGGACUUCACAGGAACAGAAUGACGGCUAACGGCCGCCCGGCGCAAGCUGAGGGACAGUGCCACAGAAAAUAAACCGCCCUGCUAUACGCAAGGUAAGGAUGAAACGGCGAGGUAAGAGCUCACCACUUAACUGGCAACAGUUCAAGGUAAGGUAAACCCCAUUCGAAGCAAGACCAAAUAAAGUGGUGGCGAUUUGAUUCGCAAGAUGUCGUCCCUGCAUUGCCCAAAUAGGUAGGUUGCUAGAAGAUUAAAGUAAUUUAAUUUCCAGACGAAUGAUUGCCCUCGACAAAAUCCGGCUUACAGUCCUUCUCA